Gadus morhua (Atlantic cod) is the source of this 918-nucleotide long non-coding RNA. The record is from Ensembl. NCBI's taxonomy places the organism in Eukaryota, Metazoa, Chordata, Actinopteri, Gadiformes, Gadidae.
UCACUGUUGGCUCUCAGGCUCUGUUAACAUUAUGGCCCCGGUCUCCUCUCCCCUCCUGUCCCGGGAGUGUCUGUCCCGGGGACAGCAGAGGGUGUCCUGCGCUGCCGAGGGGGACGGACCCCACUACAGCUGGAGUCUAGACCGACUCCCGCUGAACGCCACGCGUCUCCUCUCUGGACACAGUAACGCUAGUGACAUCACUCUGGAGCCGGGCCUGUCGGGGCUGAUCACCUGCUCGGUCCGCAACAACGUGAGCGCAGCCGCGGCUAACCUAGCCCUGUCUGUGUGUGACCACCCCAUCCCUAUCGUCGCUCGUUAUCUGAUGGUGGUGGGGCUGCUGCUAGUAGCAUUGGGAGUCUACUGGGCACUGAAGAAAAAAAGAAAACUUCAAGACCUCAAGACAUCCCGCUGUCCUCCAUGGCGACCGGGGGAGCAGGGGAGUGAGGAGGAGAACGGCUGUUCCAGGUGGCUCCAGGCCUCAGGCGGACGCUGGAAGCUAAAGGGCGUCCUAUCCUAGCUGUCUCUGUUGUAUACAGGGAAUGGGUUAACCUAGUGAUUGUAAGUGCUUGUCACUUGGUUCUCUGAACAUCCUUCUGUACUGACAGCGAUAUAUACAGUUUCUAAGUCGCUUCGGAUACAAGCGUCUGCUAAAUGCCCUAAAUGUAAAUGUUAAUGUAAUUUUUUCAAUUAAUUAAUUAAAUUGAUAGCAUAUCAUAUUGAUUGAAUUUUUUUACUUUGCCUUUGUUUUCUUAUAUUUAUCUAUUUUAUUUUAUUAUUUCAUUUUAUUGUAUGGCAAUGUGUUUAUGUGAGGUACUUUGAGUCCGCCUCGUGUAUAUAAGUGCGAUAUAAAUAAAGUUGCCUUGCCUUACUUUCUAGGGGUUGUCAUCUUCUACUGCCAAAACAAACAAUAUGGCUGAC